AGUGAACGCUGGCGGUAGGCCUAACACAUGCAAGUCGAACGGCAGCACAGUAAGAGCUUGCUCUUACGGGUGGCGAGUGGCGGACGGGUGAGGAAUACAUCGGAAUCUACUUUUUCGUGGGGGAUAACGUAGGGAAACUUACGCUCAUACCGCAUACGACCUACGGGUGAAAGCAGGGGAUCUUCGGACCUUGCGCGAUUGAAUGAGCCGAUGUCGGAUUAGCUAGUUGGCGGGGUAAAGGCCCACCAAGGCGACGAUCCGUAGCUGGUCUGAGAGGAGGAUCAGCCACACUGGAAAUGAGACACGGUCCAGAGUCCUCCGGGAGGCAGCAGUGGGGAAUAUUGGACAAUGGGCGCAAGCCUGAUCCAGCCAUACCGCGUGAGUGAAGAAGGCCUUCGGGUUGUAAAGCCCUUUUGUUGGGAAAGAAAAGCAGCAGGUUAAUACCCCGCUGUUCUGACGGUACCCAAAGAAUAAGCACCGGCUAACUUCGUG
Molecule: ribosomal RNA, 492 nt
Filed under: uncultured bacterium
Lineage: Bacteria
Description: partial 16S ribosomal RNA
Rfam family: Bacterial small subunit ribosomal RNA
Source: RNAcentral